AAAUAUUAUAAACUAAAGGUUUAUAACUAUACUCGAUAGUCGGUUCAGAUUACGUAGAUAGUUGUAUAAAAAACAUAACUGAGCGAAGCUUUAACAGGGUUUUACGAGAAUAAAUAAAUAUCGAUAUAGAUAAGUAAUUAAUGUUGGUAUUAGCUCAUCUACUUAUAUCCAUAAAAUAAAAAAAAUUGUGUCUACCUAUGUCCGUUAUAGACUUUGGUUUCAAAGUCCAACUGAUGUGCCCCAAACCGGUUUCAUUAUAAAAGGCAAUAAUGUGAAGACCAUUUUUAGACCACUAAAACAACGCAUUAGGUACAUUCGGACCAUUAAUUCUGUUUAUUCGCCAA
Non-coding RNA from Cinara cedri, 344 nucleotides. NCBI's taxonomy places the organism in Eukaryota, Metazoa, Arthropoda, Insecta, Hemiptera, Aphididae. The record is from the annotation of a GenBank genome assembly.